AGUGGGAUAGAUGGAUCAAAUGGAGAUUUCAUUCUAACUUUUCUAAGAAAUCUCCAUACUUCCUUCCAAAGUGGUUGCACCAUUUUGCAAUACCACAAGCAAU
This 103-nucleotide microRNA precursor is filed under the name Marmota monax (woodchuck). The record is from RNAcentral. Lineage: Eukaryota; Metazoa; Chordata; Mammalia; Rodentia; Sciuridae.